ACAAAAAACAUUCAUGGUUAACAUCUGCUUGAUGCAGACUUGGAACACGUCCACACUGAUACUGUUUUGCUGGUGUAGUAUACUGGUAUAGCCAAGCUAGGCACAAGUCGCACCUGAUUAUCACAGGUAUGCUUCAAAAGAUUGUAAGGUAGACCUAGACUUGACCUUUCCUGUGAGAAAUUUCUCUCUCUCUCUUUUUUUUUUUUAAAUUGUUUCAAAAUCAUGAAAGCAUAGGUUGUAGAACUGGCUGCUAUUUGGGAUUACAGCUAGUCAAAAAAAGGACCUGAUCCUAUACAGCUUACUUCCUUGGGAGUUUUGUAGGACCAUGAAUAGGGCUGUACUGAAGAAAACUGUUCUUAGACAAGGCCUGUUUUGAGAAUUGCUUUAUAUGUUGCUGCUUCCUUUGAGUAUUUGCUUGAAUUUAUGCUUUUACUCCUUGUUUUGAACCACAAACGCUUUUGUUUGAGUUCACAAUAGCUAACCUAUGUGCUAUUGUAUAGAAAUCUAUUAAGUAAACUGAGAUUUUUCCCUUUAAAGUUUCCCCGUCACACACCUUUCUACCCUUCAAAAAUGUAAUUGAAACAACUGACAGUUCACAAUAUUGAAGUUGCUUUAUCCAUGAUUGAGGAAAUACAGUCCUAUUUCAGUAACUGCUUGCUGUAACUUGCAAGUGUGGUUGUUGUCCUCCCAGUCCCGGAUGUUUUGAGUUGCAUUAUAGAAAUAAUGAUAAUUUUCCUACCUAGACUAGAUGCAUCUAUUUUGAAUACUUAUGGUUGGUUGCUUCUUUCUUUAAUACUGCAAAUAAUACUGUAGUUAAAAAGAAAAAUGCAGUGACUGAUUUGUCUUUUUUUUUUUACCAAGUAGAAUCUGUGAAGUGAAUGAAUGAGGAAUAGUUUCAAACGUGUGUUCAGGAAAGCCAGAUAUAAACAAAGGAUUCCUUCUUCAUAUUUAUAAGUGCAUGAAAUAUAAUAUUUUGACUCAAUAAACAAUAAUUGAUUUUUUUUUUUUUCCGCAAGGAGUUCUGAUAAUGUAUUCCUCAAGUGUAAAUGAGAUUCCAGAGUCCUUUAGUUGAAUGAUGUGCAUGCAAGCUUCGGAUGUAAAGUUCAGUCAUUGUAACUGCUGCAGCUUCGUUCACUGAAGAAACCGGAACAAUAGUUUGUUUGUAAUGACCCUGCAACUGAGUACAAAGGCUCAUCUGACCUUUGAACCUUGGUGGCUGUGCAUCUGAAGGAGGAAUUGUUAAUGAAUGGGCAGGACUGCCCCCCACCCCAACUUUCCCCAGGAAUGUUUAAUGUCAUUUCUUCCAAUUAACAGAUGGAACAAAAAAUCUUGUUGAUUUUUAUAUGACUAGGUACCUUCCUACCACUCUGAUGUGAUGCUCUUGUAUGUUGAGGAAAAGGAAGGGAAAAAAGUUGGCUAUUACUGUUUGUUGUAAAGGAUUUUUUUUAUAAGUGUGGUUACAUUACUUAAAAGUCUCACUUUGUUUAUUGUAUGCUACCUGGCUGAAAUCAUGGUCAUGAAAAUAUUGUUGUUUUGUCAUGAUUACCUCUUUGUUCUCUAAGGUGAUUAUUUUCUCACAACCAGUAGGAGGCAACAGGAAGGAAUAGUUAGUCUUCUGAAGACAUCGUUAUCCUUCUAUAUAAAUGUGCUGACUGCGUCAUUCCCUGUUAGAGUUUUUAGCAAGUUGAAGCAGUGUCUUGUAAUAGUUAUAGUCAUCAAUUCUUAAAAUUCAGCAAGGUGAAGAGUAAAUCAUACAGGUUUUGAAAUUAGAUAAGCCAUGUUGAGCCAAUAGAGGCUUUAAAAAAUUCAUGCCGCAUUCAUGCUCAGCCUUAAGUAUGCAAGCUUUUAGUUUCUGCACGGAAUAUGCAGAAAAGUAAUCUUUAAUAUAUUUUUAUUGCUCAUUCAAACGCCUUGUCCUGUAUACACAUGCUUGCACGCAUGUUCAUGUGCACAGUAAUCUAAUCUAAACCCUGCCCUCUGAAGACAUAUCAUGGAUUUGCCUUGUUCAGAUAGAGGAAAGAGGAGUGGGAUUACACUGCUGACCCCACUAGGAUGGCGACUGGGUGUAUUCUAGAAACUGUACCACCAAAAAAGCCCUCAGGAAGUCAGAGCUGUCCAAGUGCCAACGCUACUCUGGUUUUGGGGUCCCCUGCCCUCCUUUAGUCUAGCACCUGAGAGAGAGCUCAGUCACCAGAAGGUGACUGUAUCCGUUUGCAUGAGAGUGGCAUCCAGCAUCUGUAGCUUGAUUGACCCUGGCCGUCUUCACUCUUGGGUCUUGUUGUUAGUGUCCUUAAGGACAUUUUUUUGUUUUUUGUUUGUUUUAUAUCUUUGUCAUACUCUAGAAAUCUGGCAGAAGAAAAGCAGCAGCAACCAGGGAUGCUUUUCAAUAAGAGAUCAUUAGUACAAGUAGCGGUUCUUGUUACUGUUUCAAGAAGAACAAAUUCCACUUUAUUUUGUGGUGCGCAAGGUGAUUAAACAUGUUGUUUCUCAAAGGAGUAUGAAGAGCUUUGGAUGGCACUUUGGUAAAGUUUUAGCCUCCGUGGAUUUGCAUGAUUUUUUUCCCUCCCUUUGCCUAUUCUUUUGUUCCAAAAGCAGGAUUGAAGCUUUUUCUGUCACAUAGACCAAUUCUGAAGACGAAGCCCUCCUCCUCCUUAGCUUCCUGAUCUGGAUUAUGUAACAUCAGUAAUAAAAGGACCUUCAAGGUUGCCACCUGUUGACAAGGGGAAAUAAUCCACCUUGUCUGGGUUGGCAUAGGACAACUCAAGGAAAGCUUGUCAUCAUUUAAUGAAUGAAUGGAGCAUGUAGCCAUAAAUAGAGCCAGUUUUGAAUGCAGCCAGAAAAAGCAACCACACUUUCUUUUUUAUUUUCACAGUACUUAAUAUUAUAAUGUAGGUGUUUUUCACUUUUGGAAGCUGAGCAUAUGUAUAAACAAAUUAAAAUAAACACGUUGAGAACUGGCCU
This is a long non-coding RNA of Gavialis gangeticus (Gharial), 2961 nucleotides long. RefSeq lists it as uncharacterized. The transcript has 2 exons. NCBI's taxonomy places the organism in Eukaryota, Metazoa, Chordata, Crocodylia, Gavialidae. The record is from RefSeq and is a predicted model, not a curated record.